RNAcentral lists this ribosomal RNA (330 nucleotides) under uncultured bacterium. Its description in RNAcentral is "bacterial SSU rRNA". It matches the Rfam family "Bacterial small subunit ribosomal RNA", at positions 143 to 487 of the family's 1533-position model. The record is from RNAcentral.
AUAACACCGGGAAACCGGUGCUAAUACCGAAUAUUGAAACAUAAGUGGCAUCACUGAGUUUUGAAAGAAUUUCGGUGGAGGAUGACUUCGCGGCCUAUCAGCUAGUUGGUGAGGUAAUGGCUCACCAAGGCAACGACGGGUAGCCGGCCUGAGAGGGCGACCGGCCACACUGGGACUGAGACACGGCCCAGACUCCUACGGGAGGCAGCAGUGGGGAUAUUGGGCAAUGGAGGAAACUUUGACCCAGCGACGCCGCGUGCGGGAUGAAGGCCUUCGGGUUGUAAACCGCUUUCAGUAGGGAAGAAGCGAAAGUGACGGUACCUGCAGAAG